GACGAACGCUGGCGGCGUGCUUAACACAUGCAAGUCGAACGGAAAGGCCUGCUUUCCCUUGUGGAUUGCGGGUACUCGAGUGGCGAACGGGUGAGUAACACGUGAGUGAUCUGCCCCCAACUUGGGUAUAAGCCUGGGAAACUGGGUCUAAUUCCCGAUAGGACUGCAGGGUGGUGCCUGUGGUGGAAAACGAUUUUCUAGUGGUUGGGGAUGAGCUCGCGGCCUAUCAGCUUGUUGGUGGGGUAAUGGCCUACCAAGGCGGCGACGGGUAGCCGGCCUGAGAGGGUGGACGGACACAUUGGGACUGAGAUACGGCCCAGACUCCUACGGGAGGCAGCAGUGGGGAAUAUUGCACAAUGGGCGGAAGCCUGAUGCAGCGACGCCGCGUGGGAGAUGACGGCCUUCGGGUUGUAAACUCCUUUCGACCGCGAGGAAGCCACCUGGUUGGAAGGGUGGUGACGGUAGUGGUAGAAGAAGCACCGGCUAACUACGUG
Molecule: ribosomal RNA, 494 nt
Filed under: uncultured bacterium
Lineage: Bacteria
Description: partial 16S ribosomal RNA
Rfam family: Bacterial small subunit ribosomal RNA
Source: RNAcentral